CAAUCGAGAGAAGACUCUCAUUUUCUCUUCUCUUCUUCUUUCAUUUUCUUCUCUGUUUCUCCUCUUUCCCUUCUCUGUUAUUCUCUGAUUUCUUUUCUGCCGAUGAUUUGUGACUCGUGCAUGAGGAUUUUGAGAUUGAAUCAAGAGUACAAAGAUCAAGGUUGGUUUGCUGGUGGUGAUGAUUAUGGUGCGGUAGCUACUGACUUAAAGGAAGUGGCGAAUUGGAGAAAAUUAAAUUAGGGUUCGUGAUUUUGAUUGUUGUUCUGAAGUUGAAGGUAAGAUAUAGAGCUAGGGAUAGAUGAAGAAUCACGAGUCGGUGUUUAAUUGAAAUUUUGAAGUGGGUUCGGUGAUGAAUUGAAGAAUUAGGGUUUCUUAUAAGUAUUGAUUCAAAGUUGAUUUCGUGAUGAUUAAAAGAAAUUGAAGGAUGGGUUUUGAAGAUUUGACUCAAAGAAGAACAAUAAUUGAGAAAUCAGUAGUUAGGGUUUGAAGUUGUGAAAUUAGAAGUUCAUUUGAGGAUGAUGAUUAGAACAGUUUAUGAGGUUAGAGUUCAACCCUGUUAAUAAGAAAGUUAUGGGGAUGAACAUUGUUCGGAUUGACGUCACGUUGCUGAAUUGAAUCAAGGUGAAGAGCAGUUAGAUUUCAAUUGUUUCAUCAAGGUUAAACUGAGUAUGAUGCAGGGAAUGGUUGAAGUUCUUUAGAUGAAUGUUGUUUAGGUUGAAGCAAAGGAGUUUGAAUGAAUGAGAUUACAAUGAAGACAUGAAUGUACAGGGGGUGGUUCUGUUGAAUGAAUGUAAUUGUUAUUACAAUGGUGUAUUGGUGUUGAGGUUAAUGGAACUAUGAUUAUAGUUUAUGGUUGUAAUGUGUUGUAAGAUAAAUUCGUUGUUGCAUUUGAAGCUAAGAUGGCUGUGUGGUUAAGAUUCAGGGUUGAUUGAAUGUGUUAUGUUGGUGAUGAUGAUAUGAGCUGAGUUUCAGUGAGGCUCUGAAAGUUGUAGUUGAGUUAUUCAAUUGAAGUUACAGGUGACUGAUCUGUUGAAUGCAUUGUGGUGGUUAUGAUGUUAUGAGUUGUUGGUGGCUGAAAUGAUAUGAGUGGAGGUGAACUGUAAUGGUGCAGUUGAGCCUGUUCAACCAAUAAUUGAAGUAACUGGGAUAGAAAUAAGAGGAAGGUGUUCUAAUGCUGAGAAUGGUGGUGUUGAGGGUGUUAAGAUGAGAUGGUCUGGGUAUUGGUCAAAGCCGCAAUUGCAAGUAAUCUUAGUUUAUUUUUGUGAUUAAUCUAUGAAGUUAUCUGUAUUUUAUGUACUGUUGUAUUGAUGUUGAAAUGGUAGAUGAAGGUUUAAGAAUUAGAGUUGAAGUGAUAUGUAACAUGGUGUGCUUAGCCUAGCUUAUCUGACUGAAUUGAUUCAGUCUGAAUUAGAUUGUAUUUUGUAUGAAUUAGUUGGUGUGAGUGAAUUAACUCA
Papaver somniferum (opium poppy) is the source of this 1454-nucleotide long non-coding RNA. RefSeq lists it as uncharacterized. The transcript has 2 exons. The record is from RefSeq and is a predicted model, not a curated record. Lineage: Eukaryota; Viridiplantae; Streptophyta; Magnoliopsida; Ranunculales; Papaveraceae.